GAUGAACGCUAGCGGCAGGCUUAGCACAUGCAAGUCGAGGGGCAGCGCGGGAUAGCAAUAUCCUGGCGGCGACCGGCGGAAGGGUGCGUAACGCGUGAGCGACAUGCCCGUUGCCCGGGGACAACCGGUGGAAACGCCGACUAAUCCCCGAUGGGAUAUUGUGCCGCAUGGCACGAUAUUGAAAGUUACGGCGGCGACGGAUUGGCUCGCGUCCGAUUAGCUUGUUGGCGGGGUAACGGCCCACCAAGGCUGCGAUCGGUAGGGGUUCUGAGAGGAAGGCCCCCCACAAUGGGACUGAGACACGGCCCAUACUCCUACGGGAGGCAGCAGUGAGGAAUAUUGGUCAAUGGGCGGAAGCCUGAACCAGCCAUGCCGCGUGCGGGAAGGAGGCCCUAUGGGCUGUGAACCGCUUUUGCCUGGGGGCAAUAAGGGCGUAGCGCACGUCCGAUGAGAGUACCAGGCGAAUAAGCAUCGGCUAACUCCGUG
This 486-nucleotide ribosomal RNA is filed under the name uncultured bacterium. RNAcentral describes it as "partial 16S ribosomal RNA". It matches the Rfam family "Bacterial small subunit ribosomal RNA", at positions 28 to 507 of the family's 1533-position model. The record is from RNAcentral.